This 305-nucleotide ribosomal RNA is filed under the name uncultured bacterium. RNAcentral describes it as "bacterial SSU rRNA". It matches the Rfam family "Bacterial small subunit ribosomal RNA", at positions 334 to 635 of the family's 1533-position model. The record is from RNAcentral.
UGAGCCUACGGGGGGCAGCAGUGAGGAAUAUUGGUCAAUGGGCGCGAGCCUGAACCAGCCAAGUCGCGUGAGGGAUGACGGUCCUACGGAUUGUAAACCUCUUUUGCCGGGGAGCAAGCGUGCGUUCGUGAACGCGCGUCGAGAGUACCCGGAGAAAAAGCAUCGGCUAACUCCGUGCCAGCAGCCGCGGUAAUACGGAGGAUGCGAGCGUUAUCCGGAUUUAUUGGGUUUAAAGGGUGCGUAGAUGGGUUGUUAAGUCAGUUGUGAAAGUUUGCGGCUCAACCGUAAAAUUGCAAUUGAUACUG